RNAcentral lists this ribosomal RNA (473 nucleotides) under Rhodotorula taiwanensis. Its description in RNAcentral is "partial large subunit ribosomal RNA". It matches the Rfam family "Eukaryotic large subunit ribosomal RNA", at positions 159 to 648 of the family's 3401-position model. The record is from RNAcentral. Lineage: Eukaryota; Fungi; Basidiomycota; Microbotryomycetes; Sporidiobolales; Sporidiobolaceae.
UGUUUUCCGCGUUGGACCGCAACAAGUCUGUUGGAAUACAGCGGCAUAGUGGUGAGACCCCCGUAUAUGGUGCGGACGCCCAACGCUUUGUGAUACACUUUCGAAGAGUCGAGUUGUUUGGGAAUGCAGCUCAAAUUGGGUGGUAAAUUCCAUCUAAAGCUAAAUAUUGGCGAGAGACCGAUAGCGAACAAGUACCGUGAGGGAAAGAUGAAAAGCACUUUGGAAAGAGAGUUAACAGUACGUGAAAUUGUUGGAAGGGAAACGCUUGAAGUCAGACUUGCUUGCCGAGCAAUCGGUUUGCAGGCCAGCAUCAGUUUUCCGGGGUGGAUAAUGGUAGAGAGAAGGUAGCAGUUUCGGCUGUGUUAUAGCUCUCUGCUGGAUACACCUUGGGGGACUGAGGAACGCAGUGUGCCUUACGGCGGAUUUCUCGAGAUCUUCACACUUAGGAUGCUGGUGGAAUGGCUUUAAACGAC